AAGGCAUCAGGCACACUUUGGGAGUGUGGAGGGCUGCUUGACAACCCCAAAGUGCCAUAUAUUGCCACUGUACCGAAUAUGCAUCUUUAUCUUUGCACUCAACCAUGUGGUUGCCAAGUCCUGCUUCUGGUACUUCAUGUCACAGCUGAAGAGGAUGAAGAAGUCAUCCAGGGAGAAUGUGUACUGUGGGCAGGUGUUUGAGAAGUCACCCAUGUUGUCUUGCCUGUGAAGAACUUUGGCAUCUGGCUGUGCUAUGAUCCCCUCAGUGGCAUACAGCAAGAGUACUGGGACCUGACCACUGCUGGCACAGUCACACAGUGCUACUGCAACACAGCUGCCUGAUAUCUGUGCACACUCAAUUGAGAUUAUGAAGGUAGAAGAGAUUUGCAGCUGGCAGGUGCCCCUGGCAGGCUGUCAAAGCAGUUCCACAACUCCAAGAUCAAAUUCCCAUUGUACCACCACGUGUUGCAAUGCCAGCCCAAGCCAUGCUUCACCGUCAAGAAGCCCAAUACUUUCUUC
Molecule: long non-coding RNA, 519 nt
Filed under: Mus musculus (house mouse)
Lineage: Eukaryota; Metazoa; Chordata; Mammalia; Rodentia; Muridae
Description: long non-coding RNA chrX:103236124-103236643
Source: RNAcentral